RNAcentral lists this ribosomal RNA (1396 nucleotides) under Enterobacter sp. RNAcentral's name for it is "bacterial SSU rRNA". It matches the Rfam family "Bacterial small subunit ribosomal RNA". Lineage: Bacteria; Pseudomonadati; Pseudomonadota; Gammaproteobacteria; Enterobacterales; Enterobacteriaceae. The record is from RNAcentral.
GUUAAGCUACCUACUUCUUUAGCAAGCUACUCCCAUGACGAGUGGCGGACGGGUGAGUAAUGUCUGGGAAACUACCUGAUGGAGGGGGAUAACUACUGGAAACGGUAGCUAAUACCGCAUGGCGUCGCAAGACCAAAGAGGGACUCCUUCGGGCCUCUUGCCAUUUGCUGUGCCCAGAUGGGAUUAGCUAGUAGGUGGGGUAACGGCUCGUGUAGGCGACGAUCCCUAGCUGGUCUGAGAGGAUGACCAGCCACACUUUCCCUGAGACACGGUCCAGACUCCUUUGGGAGGCAGCAGUGGGGAAUAAAGCACAAUGGGCGCGCUCCUUGCGCAGCCAUGCCGAAUGUAUGAAGAAGGCCUUCGGGUUGUGCAGUACUUUCAGCGUUCAGGAAGGCGAUAAGGUUAAUAACCUUGUCUCUUGACGUUACCCGCAGAAGAAGCACCGGCUUGCUCCGUGCCAGCAGCCGCGGUAAUACGGAGGGUGCAAGCGUUCGUCGGAAUUACUGGGCGUAAAGCGCACGCAGGUACUCUGUCAAGUCGGAUGUGAAAUCCCCGGGCUCAACCUCAAAACUGCAUUCGAAACUGGCAGGCUAGAGUCUUGUAGAGGGGGGUAGAAUUCCGUUUGUAGCGGUGAAAUGCGUUCGCAUCUGGAGGAAAGCCGGUGGCGAAGGCGGCCCCCUGGACAAAGGUAGACGCUCAGGUCUCAAAGCGUUUGGAGCAAACAGGAUUCUAUACCCUGGUAGUCCACGCCGUAAACGAUGUCGACUUGGAGGUUGUGCCCUUGAGGCGUGGCUUCCACAGCUAACUUGUUAAGUCGACCGCCUGGGGAGUACGGCCGCAAGGUUAAAACUUGCAUGAAUUGACGGGGGCCCUGGCAAGCGGUGGAGCAUGUGGUUUAAUUCGGGGCAACGCGAAGAACCAAGCCUACUCUUGACAUCCUUCCAACUUGCCAGAGAUGCUUUGGUGCCCGAGGGAACUCUGAGACACAUGCUGCAUGGCUGUCGUCAGCUCGUGUUGUGAAAUGUUGGGUUGCCUCCCGCAACGAGCUCAACCCUUAUCCUUUGUUGUGGGCGGUCAGGCCGGGAACUCAAAGGAGACUGCCAGUGAUAAACUGGAGGAAGGUGGGGAUGACGUCAAGUCCCUAUGGUUUUUACGAGUAGGGAUACACACGUGCUACAAUUGCGCCCCCAAAGAGAAAAUACCUCGCGAGAGCAAGCAAACCUCAUAAAGUAUAUCGUAGUCCGGAUUGGAGUUAACAACUCGACUAAAUGAAGUCGGAAUCGCUAGUAAUCGCAGAUCAGAAUGCAACGGUGAAUACGUUAAAGGGCCUUGUACACACCGCCCGUCACAUGAUGGGAGUGGGGCACAAAAGAAGUAGGCGACGGGGCUGUCGGGC